GUUCCCAUGGUCCAGGGGUUAAGACAUUAGGUUUUCAACUUAAAGACGGGAGUUCGAUUCUCCUUGGGAAUA
This 72-nucleotide transfer RNA is filed under the name Ephydatia muelleri. Its description in RNAcentral is "tRNA-Glu (TTC) (tRNA-Glu-TTC-2-1)". It matches the Rfam family "tRNA". From Rfam's summary of the family: Transfer RNA (tRNA) molecules are approximately 80 nucleotides in length. RNAcentral also lists the same sequence under 9 other names. The record is from RNAcentral. Lineage: Eukaryota; Metazoa; Porifera; Demospongiae; Spongillida; Spongillidae.